This 64-nucleotide transfer RNA is filed under the name Daldorfia horrida. Its description in RNAcentral is "tRNA-Cys". Lineage: Eukaryota; Metazoa; Arthropoda; Malacostraca; Decapoda; Parthenopidae. The record is from RNAcentral.
GGUUUCAUAGUAAAAGAAAUAACGUUGAAUUGCAAAUUCGAAGAUGUGUAUAACACUGAAACUU